This 253-nucleotide ribosomal RNA is filed under the name uncultured bacterium. RNAcentral's name for it is "partial 16S ribosomal RNA". It matches the Rfam family "Bacterial small subunit ribosomal RNA", at positions 524 to 776 of the family's 1533-position model. The record is from RNAcentral.
UACAGAGGGUGCGAGCGUUAUUCGGAAUCACUGGGCGUAAAGGGCGCGUAGGCGGUUUGGUAAGUCUGAUGUGAAAGCCCCGGGCUCAAUCCGGGAAGUGCAUUGGAUACUGCCAGGCUAGAGUGCAGGAGAGAGUGGUGGAAUUCCAGGUGUAGAGGUGAAAUUCGUAGAUAUCUGGAGGAACAACAGCGGCGAAGGCGGCCACUUGGACUGUUACUGACGCUGAAGCGCGAAAGCGUGGGGAGCAAACAGG